UUUGAAAGUAAUAUAAUACAGUGCUAGUCAGAAUUUCACCAUUGACAGCUAUUUCAGCAUGGAACCAAACUGCAUUUGACCUCACUCUUCUCCCAUUAUUGGAGACAGAUAAUUUUGGCCCUGUAUACUUCCACAAAUAUUUAAAAUCAACAUCUACUACUACUACUACGCUUCAAUCUCCAACUAGUUUUUUUUUGAUUUGCACCGGGUGUCCGAGUCUCUUCGAGCCCCGACUAUUCCCGGGGGUGCACAGGCCCUCGGCAAGGAGUUUCCCGCAAGUGCACCACGGUUAAUUCAGGUUUUACCCAGUCCGAUGGCCCUCAGAAAUUGUUUGCACCCAGUGGGUUUCGAACUUGAGACCUUGAAAGGGAGCAAACCCCAAGGCUCAAGUCAAUUGCNNNNNNNNNNNNNNNNNNNNNGGUUUCGAACUUGAGACCUUGAAAGGGAAGGCAAACCCCAAGGCUCAAGUCAAUUGCCACCAGGCCAACCCCUGAGGGUUUCAAUCUCCAACUAGUUGGAAUCGCUUUAUGGAUCCUCACUG
This 541-nucleotide long non-coding RNA is filed under the name Nicotiana tabacum (common tobacco). RNAcentral's name for it is "long non-coding RNA (NTAB_LNC015217)". The record is from RNAcentral. Lineage: Eukaryota; Viridiplantae; Streptophyta; Magnoliopsida; Solanales; Solanaceae.